GUGUUAAGAUGAAAUUUGUAUCAUCAAUUAAUUGGAAUAUUGUAAAAUAGUACAAUUUGUUGACCAGAAUAAAGAUUGGGAAAUAUUAUUCAGUUACAACAAGAGUGGUAUUGAGCCUUUAAAACACAGAUCUUAUUUCGUUUCGUUUUUUAUAGUUCAAAAUUUCGUUUUACUUGUCUUUACAACACUAGGAUGGAUCUGGAAGAGUUGUUAUCAUUGAUGUGUUCUGGAUGAUGUGAGGGACUCUUCCAGAUCCUAGUGUAAUAAAGGCAAGUAAAAUGAAAUUUUGAACUAUAAAAAUGAAACGAAAUAGGAUCUGUGUUUUAAUCUGAUUGGAAAUUAUACAGCGUAUUAUUCAUAAAAAUAUGCUCAAACCAAUCUGAUUAAAACACAGAUCCUAUUUCGUUUCGUUUUUUAUAGUUCAAAAUUUCGUUUUACUUGUCUUCACUACACUAGGAUCUGGAAGAGUUGUUAUCAUUGAUGUGUUCUGGAUGAUGUGAGGGAUUAGCCAAUGAAAUGGUCUGUUACGUCGAGCUUUCGGCUUGUGUUACAUUGAACUGUGGGUAAUCCACUAGAAACAUCAAUGCUGAUUGGUUAAUCAAAUAUCUGAUGUCAUAGGGUUAAAAGCCGCUUGUAUGACCUCUGAUGCGAUACCCCAAAACAACUGUUCAGAUCUUCAUGUAGUAGAGGACAUCGAAAGCAUAAAAAAACGAAACGAAAUAUAGAUCUGUAUUUUAAUCAGAUUGCAAUAUUGUUUAACAGUCAAUAUUUGUGUUGUAUUCUAUUAUAAAAUGUAUUUGAAAACUUAUAUUAUUUUGAUUCUAAUAAUAACUUCAUUUCAUUGACAAAGAGCUAAAAAUAUGCUUGAAGCAAUAUUCUGCAUAAUAUCAGUAUGAUCAUUAGCUACAGGCCCAAGAAUCUUCUAAUGUAUGGAGAGGCAUAAUAUAACAACUUGAACCUAUAUGACUUGUUACAAAGUUAAUCUAACCAAAUCCACACUUUGUAUAUGUCAAUUAACUGAAGAAGUUGUAUUUAUAUGUAUAUUAAGCUAUGUAGAAUUAUUAGAAAUCUCUUUUUAUAAAUAUCAAAUUGUCUGCAAGUUUUGGGAAGAAUUCCUUCUUGUGUACAAACAGAAUUCUCCUCCCUCGAAUCUUUUUUUCCAUAUGUAAAGUAUGUGGAGCUUGUAUGAAAGGUGUGCCCGAUGGAAUCAUUUGACCUGUGCUAAAAGAGUUGAUAGAAAGACAGCUGUAUAAACAAAAUUCUCCUCCCUUGUAGUGCACAUAGUUAUAUGUAACUCAACUGUUUACACUUCACAGGUAACUAUAAUAGUUAUAUGUAACUCAAGGUAGCUAUAUAUAAUAGUUAUAUGAAACUCAAUAGUUCACACUUCACAGGUAACUAUAAUAGUUACACAUAACCCAAUAGUUCACAGGUAACUAUAAUAGUCACCCAAUAGUGUACCUUAGUAACUAUAAUAGUCACCCAAUAGUGUACUGGUAACUAUAAUAGUCACCCAAUAGUGUACUGGUAUCUAUAAUAGUCACCCAAUAGUGUACCUUAGUAACUAUAAUAGUCACCCAAUAGUGUACUGGUAACUAUAAUAGUCACCCAAUAGUGUACUGGUAUCUAUAAUAGUCACCCAAUAGUGUACCAUAGUAACUAUAAUAGUCACCCAAUAGUGUACUGGUAACUAUAAUAGUCACCCAAUAGUGUACUGGUAUCUAUAAUAGUCACCCAAUAGUGUAUCCAUGGUAACUAUAAUAGUCACCAAAUAGUGUACUGGUAACUAUAAUAGUAACCCAAUAGUUCACAAUGUAACCCAAUGUUUUCUAAAUGUUAAACCACAUUCCAUUCUAAACCGCCAUCUAUAUAUACUGUCAAUAGUUUUAAUUGUAAAUACUACAGAUUUUUGAGUCUGUAUUAAAAUGUAAAGAUGUUAAAGAUGACAAUGAUCUUAUUGUAAAUAAAUCAUGGAUAGAAUGAUUGUAAAUGUUUUAUAUAUUUCAUUUAUACACCAUUUCGAUAGUUCAUUUUAUUCAUGUUUCAUUUGAAUCAGCGCCUGUCUUAGCUUAGGUAUUGCUGGACCCAAAUGACCCAGUGGUCAGUUUUAAUGACAUGAUGUAUUAUAAAUGACUAGAAAUUACUACUUUUUAAAUUUAAAAUGAUGCCCUGGUAGGAAAUCAUAUGUAGAUUUCUUUCCAAGUCUGAUAAAUAACUGAUAUAAUGGUUCUUCAUAAACCUUGGGUGUGUUCUCAGUUCCCAAGGUUUAUUGCUAUUUUUAGAAGGAAGUGAAAUGAGGUUUAACAUAGUACUGUUCUUCUCGGACUGGGCUAAUACAGAAGAAACCCACCUUCCCACUCUUGCCUAGUGGUCUUAAUAAAUAGUUCAUAGCUUUUAGUCAUUUUACAAUUGAAUUCAGCACUUGUAUUUGAAACAAGAAUUUGAAAGAAAUUCGAAAUUUCCCUCAAAUGUCCGUCUUCAUUAGCCCAGUGCAAAAAAGUAAGACUUAAUUUAUGAAUUUGGUUUGAUUAUAGUUAAACACCAGUUUUAAUCAAAUUCCUGUGUAGUAGUACCUUAUUUAUCACGUUUUACAUAAACUGGGACUUCCCUAAUAUACACUACAUACCGAAGUGCAAGAAAAAUCAAAAGUAUACCCCAUUUCGUUCUUAAGUGCAUCUCAGACUUUUGCUGGUUAUUCUGAAUUCUAACUUUUUUUUCUUCCACCCAUAAUGAUAUGAACAAAUGAAAUACACUGUAAAUUGUAUAUAGAUAACAAACAAACCAACAAAAAAACAAAUAUUUGUUAUGUUUACUGUAGUAAUAAAUGUUAAUUAUUUUAUUAUAUGUAUUAAAUAUAAUGCUUACUUCUUGUUGUAAUUGUUUUACUAUAAAUAUAUCAUAUACGAGACAUAACCAUCACCCGGCCCCAACAAGUCCAAUCUGAUUAAAACACAGAUCCUAUUUCGUUUCGUUUUUUUUUAUAGUUCAAAAUUUCGUUUUAUUUGUCUUUACUACACUAGUAUCUUGAACAGUUGACAACUGUCAGUUGUUACAUAACCCGCGUUCUGAUUGAUGUGAGGGAUUAGCCAAUGAAACGAUCUGUUGCAGCUAAUUCUUGGCUUGCGAUACACGGAACUGUGGGUAUCCUACUAGAAACAUCAAUGCUGAUUAGUUAAUUUAAUGUCUGAUGUCAUAGGGUCAAAUGUCGCUCGUAUAACCUAAGACGUGACCUCCCACUACAACUGGUCAGAUCUUUAUGUAGUAGAGGCCUUCGAAAUAUUACCCCCCCCCCCCCAAAAAAAAAAAAAAAAACCCAAAAAAAACCAAACCAAAAAACAAAAACGGAACGAAAUAUAGAUCUGUAUUUUAAUCAGAUUGCAAUAAGUGUGCAACUGGCAUUGCAUUUUUGUCUUUGAACUGUAAUUAGCGGACACUAGAUCAUGAUACAGUAAACGAGUAUAUUAAAUUUAGCAAUUUUAUUUAUAAAAAAUUCAUUUGUCCUGUUAUACCAUUGCCUGUAACGUUUUUUUUACCAUAAAUUUGAUUUAAUUUGAUUUAAUUUGAUUUGAUUGAUUAUACAGAUGUAUAGUUUUAAUUUAAGCAGGUUUUUAUGGGUUAUCCUUAAGAGGACGAUCAUUCAUAAUAUCAUUACCUUUUCUCAUCUUAUUAUCAUGUAACUUUAUAUUAUCAUCUAUAUUGUCAUGUCUGAUAUGCCUCUUGGAAAAAUAAUUAAAUAAAAAAACUUGUAUUUCUGAUA
This is a long non-coding RNA of Patella vulgata (common limpet), 3757 nucleotides long. RefSeq lists it as uncharacterized. The record is from RefSeq and is a predicted model, not a curated record. The transcript has 2 exons. NCBI's taxonomy places the organism in Eukaryota, Metazoa, Mollusca, Gastropoda, Patellidae.